AGCGAACGCUGGCGGCAGUCCUAACACAUGCAAGUCGAACGAACUCUUCGGAGUUAGUGGCGGACGGGUGAGUAACACGUGGGAACGUGCCUUUAGGUUCGGAAUAACUCAGGGAAACUUGUGCUAAUACCGAAUGUGCCCUUCGGGGGAAAGAUUUAUCGCCUUUAGAGCGGCCCGCGUCUGAUUAGCUAGUUGGUGAGGUAAAGGCUCACCAAGGCGACGAUCAGUAGCUGGUCUGAGAGGAUGAUCAGCCACAUUGGGACUGAGACACGGCCCAAACUCCUACGGGAGGCAGCAGUGGGGAAUCUUGCGCAAUGGGCGAAAGCCUGACGCAGCCAUGCCGCGUGAAUGAUGAAGGUCUUAGGAUUGUAAAAUUCUUUCACCGGGGAUGAUAAUGACGGUACCCGGAGAAGAAGCCCCGGCUAACUUCGUGCCAGCCGCCGCGGUAA
This 449-nucleotide ribosomal RNA is filed under the name uncultured bacterium. RNAcentral describes it as "partial 16S ribosomal RNA". It matches the Rfam family "Bacterial small subunit ribosomal RNA", at positions 29 to 523 of the family's 1533-position model. The record is from RNAcentral.